This 1529-nucleotide ribosomal RNA is filed under the name uncultured Lactobacillus sp. Its description in RNAcentral is "partial 16S ribosomal RNA". It matches the Rfam family "Bacterial small subunit ribosomal RNA". Lineage: Bacteria; Bacillati; Bacillota; Bacilli; Lactobacillales; Lactobacillaceae. The record is from RNAcentral.
AGAGUUUGAUCCUGGCUCAGGACGAACGCUGGCGGCGUGCCUAAUACAUGCAAGUCGAACGAACUCUGGUAUUGAUUGGUGCUUGCAUCAUGAUUUACAUUUGAGUGAGUGGCGAACUGGUGAGUAACACGUGGGAAACCUGCCCAGAAGCGGGGGAUAACACCUGGAAACAGAUGCUAAUACCGCAUAACAACUUGGACCGCAUGGUCCGAGCUUGAAAGAUGGCUUCGGCUAUCACUUUUGGAUGGUCCCGCGGCGUAUUAGCUAGAUGGUGGGGUAACGGCUCACCAUGGCAAUGAUACGUAGCCGACCUGAGAGGGUAAUCGGCCACAUUGGGACUGAGACACGGCCCAAACUCCUACGGGAGGCAGCAGUAGGGAAUCUUCCACAAUGGACGAAAGUCUGAUGGAGCAACGCCGCGCGAGUGAAGAAGGGUUUCGGCUCGUAAAACUCUGUUGUUAAAGAAGAACAUAUCUGAGAGUAACUGUUCAGGUAUUGACGGUAUUUAACCAGAAAGCCACGGCUAACUACGUGCCAGCAGCCGCGGUAAUACGUAGGUGGCAAGCGUUGUCCGGAUUUAUUGGGCGUAAAGCGAGCGCAGGCGGUUUUUUAAGUCUGAUGUGAAAGCCUUCGGCUCAACCGAAGAAGUGCAUCGGAAACUGGGAAACUUGAGUGCAGAAGAGGACAGUGGAACUCCAUGUGUAGCGGUGAAAUGCGUAGAUAUAUGGAAGAACACCAGUGGCGAAGGCGGCUGUCUGGUCUGUAACUGACGCUGAGGCUCGAAAGUAUGGGUAGCAAACAGGAUUAGAUACCCUGGUAGUCCAUACCGUAAACGAUGAAUGCUAAGUGUUGGAGGGUUUCCGCCCUUUAGUGCUGCAGCUAACGCAUUAAGCAUUCCGCCUGGGGAGUACGGCCGCAAGGCUGAAACUCAAAGGAAUUGACGGGGGCCCGCACAAGCGGUGGAGCAUGUGGUUUAAUUCGAAGCUACGCGAAGAACCUUACCAGGUCUUGACAUACUAUGCAAAUCUAAGAGAUUAGACGUUCCCUUCGGGGACAUGGAUACAGGUGGUGCAUGGUUGUCGUCAGCUCGUGUCGUGAGAUGUUGGGUUAAGUCCCGCAACGAGCGCAACCCUUAUUAUCAGUUGCCAGCAUUAAGUUGGGCACUCUGGUGAGACUGCCGGUGACAAACCGGAGGAAGGUGGGGAUGACGUCAAAUCAUCAUGCCCCUUAUGACCUGGGCUACACACGUGCUACAAUGGAUGGUACAACGAGUUGCGAACUCGCGAGAGUAAGCUAAUCUCUUAAAGCCAUUCUCAGUUCGGAUUGUAGGCUGCAACUCGCCUACAUGAAGUCGGAAUCGCUAGUAAUCGCGGAUCAGCAUGCCGCGGUGAAUACGUUCCCGGGCCUUGUACACACCGCCCGUCACACCAUGAGAGUUUGUAACACCCAAAGUCGGUGGGGUAACCUUUUAGGAACCAGCCGCCUAAGGUGGGACAGAUGAUUAGGGUGAAGUCGUAACAAGGUAACCA